This 497-nucleotide ribosomal RNA is filed under the name uncultured bacterium. RNAcentral's name for it is "partial 16S ribosomal RNA". It matches the Rfam family "Bacterial small subunit ribosomal RNA", at positions 28 to 507 of the family's 1533-position model. The record is from RNAcentral.
GAUGAACGCUGGCGGCGUGCCUAAUACAUGCAAGUCGAGCGAACGGACGAGAAGCUUGCUUCUCUGAUGUUAGCGGCGGACGGGUGAGUAACACGUGGAUAACCUACCUAUAAGACUGGGAUAACUUCGGGAAACCGUAGCUAAUACCGGAUAAUAUUUUGAACCGCAUGGUUCAAAAGUGAAAGACGGUCUUGCUGUCACUUAUAGAUAGAUCCGCGCUGCAUUAGCUAGUUGGUAAGGUAACGGCUUACCAAGGCAACGAUGCAUAGCCGACCUGAGAGGGUGAUCGGCCACACUGGAACUGAGACACGGUCCAGACUCCUACGGGAGGCAGCAGUAGGGAAUCUUCCGCAAUGGGCGAAAGCCUGACGGAGCAACGCCGCGUGAGUGAUGAAGGUCUUCGGAUCGUAAAACUCUGUUAUUAGGGAAGAACAUAUGUGUAAGUAACUGUGCACAUCUUGACGGUACCUAAUCAGAAAGCCACGGCUAACUACGUG